RNAcentral lists this long non-coding RNA (4226 nucleotides) under Ananas comosus (pineapple). Its description in RNAcentral is "long non-coding RNA (ACOM_LNC044265)". The record is from RNAcentral. Lineage: Eukaryota; Viridiplantae; Streptophyta; Magnoliopsida; Poales; Bromeliaceae.
UACACCAUUCACAUCACAGGUUCACAUUUAUAUGUUCGACAUUUAAACAUAAAUCCACAUCUAUCAGUUAAAAUGUUUCCAACCACAGAAAUAGGUUUUGAAAUACUAAGAUGCAAAAUCCACAGAAAAUCUUUUGAAAACUGUUUCCUACACGGAAACCUUUAUUCUUUAAAAACGCUACCACGAGGGGUAGAAAACCUUUUAUUUCACAAAAUCCAUUUAUUACAUUCACGAAAAUCCAUAUUUUCAAAUGUAAUAAAAAUACUGAACCAUAUAACUAUCUAAGCUAUAACAACUGAAAUAAUAAGGGUAAUAACUAUACCGAAAUAACCUGGGUCGGAAGCUCUAUCGACCGCUACACACGUACCUCACGUCUCGUCCCACUACUCAUCACCCGCGAUACCUGAAAAAUGGUGGGGGAGGUGAGAACAUGUAAACAUGUCUCCCCUCCCAGUGGGUACCGCAAGCCGAAGAAGGCGAGGAGUACUCACCGGAUCAGGAAGAGAUAACCAACAGUAUGGGUAAGUAAAAUACAGUAGCAACGAUAAUGAACGAACGAGAUAUAUAUAUAUGAAAAUACAACUACCGCUACUGUAAUGUACAACUGCAAGCAUACAAGGAUAUCAAAACUAUAGUAGCAAGACAACUGUAAAGAAAGAACUAGAAGUAUAUAUGCAACAACCGCUACUAUAGCUAUAUGCGUCAACCGGACGAGAAGUCCAAAAGUACCCAAUCUAAACCGCCGUGUCGGUCUAAGGACCUCAGGCAAAAGCCACUAUCUGCUCACACCUGGCAUGUAACCCUAGCACAAAGAGAACACCGCUGGGCUCACGGGUCGGAUGUACGACCACUUUUCCGGAAAAGAACACCCUCCUGCGGGGGAUCAACCCGCUGGUGUACGUGAAAUGCACUCGAGCUGUGGCGAUCAAUGCAGAUAUGAUCAAUAGCCAACCGUCGGCAAUCAGCCGACAAUCACCGCCCCUCGGGGCUAACCGACCGUGUAGGUCAUCAAGUAACAACGUGAACCGACCAAGAUGGGUCAAUAUACAGAAGUAACGAACGACCAAACAGGUCACCGAUGCAAACAGGAGAACCGACCAACCAGGUCACAAGUAUAGUAUAUACGAAUGCCAUCUACUCUACCCCUAUACAGGAUACUACACAUAGAACAACCAGGCAGAGUAAAUAAAGAUAGUAUGUGGACACUGCUCGAUGUCAACUAAAAGUACGAACGCAAGAACCGACCGAUAGGUCACAGGAGUGUAUUCGAUAUAGUCCAGAACAACCGUCAGCACCAGCCGACAAUCCUACCCCUCAGGGUAUACCGACCUCAAAGGUCAUCGAACGACAGAAGUCAAGAACCAGACCAACCCAAUACAUAAAGCAACAACCGACCAACCAUGUCAACAGAUAUAAGAUAAAAGCACUGAUCAACUAGGUCACCAAAACAAAGUACGAGAACCGACCAAUCAGGUCACCGAAAUAAAGUACGAGAACCGACCAAUCAGGUCACCGAAACAAAGUACAAGAACCGACCAAUCAGGUCACCGGUAUCACAUAUGGAUAAACUACUCUACUCCUACACAUGAUACUAAGCAUAGAAACAUAUGAGUAGAGUAUAAUAGAAACAACGGGGAUGCAAGCUCAAUGCGAUAGUAACAAUAGAAGAGUAAGGGUAAGAAACCAUAACCAAGCGUGUACCACUGUACCGACGUCGGAUCGAAGUACCCACCUAUACAAGUCUGGAUCAGAUCUCACGACGGCGGGGAACAGAGCAACCGGACCUACGAAGAGUCCACAAGAUCAGAAGGAAACCCUAAUGUCAGCAACUAAUAUAAAAUCCCCAGACAAGGAACCACGGGAAUCGGUUUCCCAAGACCGAUUGCCGAAUCACAUCGGGUGUCCCGAAUAUCGCACCGGGGCUUCGCCGGGGUCCACUAAUUGUCCCGGAACUCCCCAACUCCAACUGGGAGUCAACCGCUGCCACUAAUACUCUAUAAUAACCCACAUUGGCAGCAAACACCACACUUCGCCUCGGAACAGACAUCGUUGACUAAACGUCUCGAACCGGGUUCCCGAAAGUGUCGUUUUUGACACCGGGACCCACCAGUCGCUCACCCGUCGUUUCCGAACCCCCGAAACGACACGGGUGACCUGCCAAGAAGGCUUAGCGACAUCACAACAGAUCCCGAGGCACCGUCGGAUAAAAACCGAACUAAGAUCGCGUUCCGUCGACGAAUUUCGCCGUGAAACGCCCCAAACAAGGCUUUUCGAUCUCCGCAGUGGCUUGGGGCCUUGGACGAUUAGUCCAGAGGUUACCCUCAGCGUUUACACGCUGUCCACAGCGACCGAGUCGAAGUUAUAAGCAAGAAAGCACAACAUGAACCCUAAAAUCUAUCAUUUUAUGCGAUUUUCGACAGUUUUUAAGGCCCGAUCUUGCGAUACGAGGUUCGCUGGGUCAACCGUCGCACCCGCUGAUAGAUUUCAGCGUGCCGGAGACCGUGCUCACCAUUCGGAGCACAAUCGGCGACUGCGGUGCGCGCACAAGCGACGCGAAGGUCAGCGAAGCAGCGCGCACCGCAGGAAGAUCGCGGUUGCCCGAGCAACCAAGGCAUCUCAGGGCUCGACGGAAGUGAGCACGAUGUUCAGCACGACCUAAGGAUCAUCGUGCUCACUUCCCGAGGUCAAAAAGACCAUUCGAAUAGCCGAAAAAGUCACCGGAAAGUGGGAAAACAGUGCUGGAAUGCAUAAAUGGACACUCACAGUGAGGGGGGAGCUAGGGUUGGCCGCCGGCGGUAUUCCGGCAGGCGGUCCGGCCGGGGAGGGGUGCACCAGGUGGCGGGGCUCCGGGGCACUCCACGUCAGGCGGCGCAGGGCGGCCGGAGGUGCGGCGGCGGCGUACGGAGCCGCCAACUCCCUUGCGGUUUGCUGUUUUCCAACAGCUGCCGGCGGCGACGCGGCGGCCGGGGCUGGUCGGGGCCGGUCGGGGAUGAUGCCAGGGGUCGAGGCGGUGGCCGAGCUUGCGUCGGCGGGUGGCAGCGAUGCCCGGGCGUGAAGGUGGCCCGCGUUCGGCCCCUACAGCACACAGGCGGCGGCAGUGGGCUCCUGCGGCGGCCGGCGGCCCUCGAGGGUGGCCGGGGUCGGGCGCGGUGGUCGCCGGACGGUCGGCGGAGACCUCCGCGGCCGUCGGGAAACGGCGGCAGGGCUCACACACCCGAGCCACCCAGCUUCGGCCUGGGUGGUGUCCCUGGGGCCGCAGGCGGCUACGGCGGCUCCGGCGGCGCACGGCGACGGUGGGGGUCGGCGGUGACGGUGCCGGCGGGGGUGCCUGGGUCGGGGCUCACCUCACCCGAGGCCUGGCCGGCUCAGGAUGGUGCUUGGUACUUCCUCGGCCAAGGUGGAGGGAGAGGGAGGAAGGUUGGAGCUUGGGGAAGUCUUUUCCGGCGACGGCGGCGGCUGCCGGCCGCCGGGGUGCAAGCACGGCGUGGGCAGGGGGCCUCCUAGGCGGCUGGUGCACAGGGAGGGCUAGGGUUAGGGUUAGGGGAUCAAAAACCCUAGGUACACUAUAUAUACAUAAGGUGCAAAUUGCAAGUAAGUCCUCCAAAACUCAAAAUUUCGUAACGAGUCCUCCACAGUGCGUGUAAAACGCGAGGAUACCCCUCCACGUGCGAUCCCACGCAAAACGGUACAUAAAAUGUCGCAUCUUUUGCGAAAUUACCCAUUUUCCAACACCGACCUCUCCUCGAUCAACGUGCGAUCUUCGCAGAUCCGUCCGUCAGAUUUGCGAACGGAUUGCACCAGUGCGAUCAGCACCUCGGAGACAACAAAGCUACGAUUUUGUUUCACCACGAUCGAUCACGGAUUCACGACAAAAUCCAAACUUUCUUUCCAAUAGAAGGAAUAACACAUAAAUACAUAUAAAACAUGUAUUUUCGGAUUUUCUCGAAAUUCGUGCAUCAAACUCAAAAUCCGUCAGCGCCAGUAGUUCCAAAAUAGCUGAACCGGUCGAAACGAGCUAUUGGAUCGCUAUGAACGGAGUCCGGUACGCGUAGAAAGCCAACUCUACUCCGUGGCUUCACCGAAAAAUCGGAGUUACUAUUCACUUAAUUGAAAACUAAUAAUCGCGUAACUUCUCCGUUUUAGCUCAUUUUCGCCUGAAACUUGACGAGUGCUUAUGUAAUUAGAUUACACACAUAAACAUCAUCAACCGAGAGUUUAGUUGCACA